Rhypophila decipiens is the source of this 97-nucleotide non-coding RNA. The record is from the annotation of a GenBank genome assembly. Lineage: Eukaryota; Fungi; Ascomycota; Sordariomycetes; Sordariales; Naviculisporaceae.
GCGCCAGUAGUUUAGUGGUAGAAUUCAUCAACCGAAUUGGAACCCGGGCAACCGAGUCCCGCCUGAUGAGACCCGCGUUCGAUCCGCGGCUGACGCA